GAAGAGUUUAUGGACUGAGGAGGAAGAAAGAAUGUGAAAACAUUUAAAGUUUUAAUUUUAUCGGCUUUUCUAUUCAUUUUCAGUCUUCUCCAACUCUGACCCAGUUUUGCCUCUUUUCAUGAAGCUCUUGAUGAGAGAGAGGAAGAUGGAGAGAGAGAGGGCAGGAUUUAUGGACAUUAUGUGGGCACAAACAUUGCUCUGUUGCCAGACUGUGGUACCCCAGGCCAGAGGGAAGCCAAGCACAGACACCAUUCACACAAUUGGUAGGAAGGCAGGAAUAAGGCUCAGGAGUGCUGCUGCAUUCUGGAUUGUCUUUUCUCCCCAGGGGAGGGUGGGCCCAUCUCAGGCUUUGCCAGCUUCACAAGGAGUUGUUCAGGCAGAAAUCCCCUCCCCAGAGUUUCAUCAGAGAACAGGGUAAGGGAGGUGGCCUGAACCUUGAUCUGUGACAAAGUUAUAAUCAAUGCUGUAAAUUGCAGUUAGCCUCACCAGCUACAAAUGACAGUCAGCUCAGUGACACCAAAAUGUUGCUGUUGUAGAUGGCCAGCCUCGCUGGGAGGGGUACACCUUGACUGAGGGGGACACAUUCAGUCCCAUAAGGCCAGUGUGCAAAGUAGCCGUGUGUGUGUGUGUGUGUGUGUGUGUGUGUGUGUGUGUGUGUGUGUGUGUGUGUGUGUUGAUUGUGGGGGGAGGCAGUUGAGUAAGAAGGGUAACUCACUCCAAAUCUAUGAAGCAGUGACCUGCAGAAAGAACACAGCACUCUGCCCUGUACUGUAAUAGUUACCUGCUAUAGUGAGUCCAAGUAGAGACCAAGGGCUUCUCAAUGUGGUGGCCACGGCCACAAGGUCUAUAAAUGAUCCAAGAGAAAGGAAAGAAAGCAGAGUUGGCUGAUCACUUCCCCUUGAUUGCUUAAAUACGGCCGGCUUUCUUAACUGGUGUUUGAGGUGAGUCUGAUCGCUCGUCCCCUUUGGUUUGAUGUGGCAGCCAGUGUUUGGAAGGGAGCCCUGGAAUGUG
RNAcentral lists this long non-coding RNA (1011 nucleotides) under Mus spicilegus (steppe mouse). RNAcentral describes it as "lncRNA (ENSMSIG00000000401.1)". Lineage: Eukaryota; Metazoa; Chordata; Mammalia; Rodentia; Muridae. The record is from RNAcentral.